CCGAACCUGUGUCACUGAAAGGGUGGAAGAUUUUGGGGUGAGAACAAAGCCACGCGUUCUCAGUAUGGAAUGGGAAUUCGUAAAAAUAAUGAUUAA
Non-coding RNA from Arachis ipaensis, 96 nucleotides. The record is from RefSeq and is a predicted model, not a curated record. NCBI's taxonomy places the organism in Eukaryota, Viridiplantae, Streptophyta, Magnoliopsida, Fabales, Fabaceae.